RNAcentral lists this transfer RNA (77 nucleotides) under Woeseia sp. RNAcentral's name for it is "tRNA-Arg". It matches the Rfam family "tRNA". From Rfam's summary of the family: Transfer RNA (tRNA) molecules are approximately 80 nucleotides in length. Their secondary structure includes four short double-helical elements and three loops (D, anti-codon, and T loops). Lineage: Bacteria; Pseudomonadati; Pseudomonadota; Gammaproteobacteria; Woeseiales; Woeseiaceae. The record is from RNAcentral.
GCGCCCGUAGCUCAACUGGAUAGAGCAUCAGCCUUCUAAGCUGGCGGUUGCAGGUUCGAGUCCUGCCGGGCGCGCCA